This is a non-coding RNA of Streptomyces agglomeratus, 98 nucleotides long. NCBI's taxonomy places the organism in Bacteria, Bacillati, Actinomycetota, Actinomycetes, Kitasatosporales, Streptomycetaceae. The record is from Rfam.
GAGAGCCGGGUGCGGUGACAAGUCGCAUGCCCGGUUCGGUGGGGGGCCGUCGGAAAAGGGUCCACAACUGUGGAUACCUCGCCGGCGGCCUACCCUGC